AGCAGCUCUGCCUUUGGUCUGUUGUUCGGGGAAGGUCUGUGGGCCAGGGUCUUGAGGGCUCUUCCAGCUUUGGGGCUCUGUGUCUCGGACGCUUCCCUAGAAUGGCAGGCCUGUCCCCACAGCCCACCCAGGGAGAAGGGGGGUCACAUCUCUUGACAGGCAGGGCUGAGACCGGCUGGGGGUGGGGAAUGCCACCAGCCCCCUGCCCUGGCCUCAGGCCUGACCCCCAGCAGGCCGGCAGCACAGAAACCCACCUCCCAGACACCUCAGGGAGGCGACAGAGAGACGAGGGGCGUGGCUGGGAGAUCUCAGAUAGAAGUCACUUCCGGCCAGGCCUGGCUAAGUCCUUCGGCCUAUGCUGUAUCACUGGAUCCGCACAGCCACUCCGUGUAAAAAUGCAGAUAAUCAUUCCUGCCCAGAGCGAUCAGGGAAAUCGCUCUGAAGUUUCAAAUACUGCCACAAAGGAGACCACGGCCGCAUUUCCAGUGACUCACAUGUCUGGGCAACUCUGCCUCGGAAAACCCUCUCUUCUCAAGCCCCGUCUGGCCCUGCUGACUGUGGCCUCAGUGCUCCAUCCACAAGGGCUAGGACCCCCAGCCAUGCCCAUGGAGUUCAAACGGAACCAGGCUGCUAAGACAGAUGAACUCCAAAUAACAAUCAGGCCCAACUGAUUCACGGAAUCCUCAAGAACUGGAGUAAACCCAUUUUCGAGACGGACACACUGAAGCCCAGCGGCAUUUUGUACCAGACACACGCAAGGAGUUACAGAAGCCCCGCAUCCGGGGUCAAGGGUUGGGUGUGGAGACCGAUGACCCUCAGCUCGGCCAGCCCCAUGGCUACCUGGCUGCCCGGCCACGCCCCUGGCCAGGCAGGUGAAGGUGGUGGUGUAGCGUGCACGCAGCACGGCUCUGCUGUUACCUUUCUAGGUCUGGUAGCUGAGUGAUGGAACUGCGGCUCUCUUCCUCACACCCCUCACAGCACUGGCCUGAUACCCACCACCUCCUCCUCCUCAUCCUGGGUACGCAGGGACAGAGAUGGGACACAUGUGAACAGCCGGGGACACAGACGGCAGUCCACUCCCCGCCCCCACCUGGGUCCCCCCAAGGCCAGGCUAAUCUCAGCGGCCUCUUGGGCCCCCGACGCACGUCCCGGGAUGCCUGAUUGAUCUGGGGCCUUGUCUCCCCCACACUGCGGCACUGCCAUACACCAGCCGACCCCUCCUAGUGGAAAUCUUUGACUAAAAAACAUAUUUAAGUUUUC
This is a long non-coding RNA of Mirounga angustirostris (Northern elephant seal), 1260 nucleotides long. RefSeq lists it as uncharacterized. The transcript is spliced from 2 exons. The record is from RefSeq and is a predicted model, not a curated record. NCBI's taxonomy places the organism in Eukaryota, Metazoa, Chordata, Mammalia, Carnivora, Phocidae.